UGGUGGAGUGAUUUGUCUGCUUAAUUGCGAUAACGAACGAGACCUUAACCUGCUAAAUAGCUAGGCUAGCUUUGGCUGGUCGCCGGCUUCUUAGAGGGACUAUCGGCUCAAGCCGAUGGAAGUUUGAGGCAAUAACG
RNAcentral lists this ribosomal RNA (137 nucleotides) under uncultured eukaryote. Its description in RNAcentral is "partial 18S ribosomal RNA". It matches the Rfam family "Eukaryotic small subunit ribosomal RNA", at positions 1299 to 1457 of the family's 1831-position model. The record is from RNAcentral.